UCCCUCCCUACCUCUCACCGUGCACGCGCCGACGCCGGCCAACAGCAGCAACUGCUCUCCUCGCCACGCCCGCGUCCACGCGUCGCCGUCGCGCGACGGCAUCACAACCGUUGCCGGAUUCGAUCCCACCGCCGGCGUGUCGCCGUCGCCCUUCGUUCGGCCGCCGACGUCGUUUCUUCCAAAAUUCGUCGCCGUCGAUGGCUCUUCUCCAAAAUUGAGGUCGCAAUCACCAUCCUUAUGCCACCCUUUCCCUCUUUCCCCUGUCCUCCCUGCGCCGCCGGAGCCCGCCGCACCCUGUUCGGCCGCCGAAGGCCGCACCCCGCACCGCCACUCUAGGC
Molecule: long non-coding RNA, 338 nt
Filed under: Oryza brachyantha (malo sina)
Lineage: Eukaryota; Viridiplantae; Streptophyta; Magnoliopsida; Poales; Poaceae
Description: long non-coding RNA (OBRA_LNC002012)
Source: RNAcentral